RNAcentral lists this ribosomal RNA (2524 nucleotides) under human gut metagenome. RNAcentral describes it as "bacterial LSU rRNA". It matches the Rfam family "Bacterial large subunit ribosomal RNA", at positions 3 to 2550 of the family's 2925-position model. The record is from RNAcentral.
UCAAGUUAUUAAGGGUGCAGGGCGGAUGCCUUGGCACUAGGAGCCGAUGAAGGACGUGAUAAGCUGCGAUAAGCUUCGGGGAGUUGCACGUAAACUUUGAUCCGAAGAUUUCCGAAUGAGGAAACUCACUUAGAGUAAUGUCUAAGUAUCGUUAAGUGAAUACAUAGCUUAGCGAGGGGAACCCGGGGAACUGAAACAUCUAAGUACCCGGAGGAAGAGAAAGAAAUUCGAUUCCGUAAGUAGCGGCGAGCGAACGCGGAACAGGCCAAACCAGUGAAGUUUUCUUCGCUGGGGUUGCGGACAUAUCAUAACGAAGAGGUAUCGUAGAAGAAGAGAGUUGGAAAGCUCCGCCAUAGAUGGUAACAGCCCAGUAUUUUAAACGAGAAGACUUUAGAUAUGAUCCAGAGUACCACGGGACACGUGAAACCCUGUGGGAAGCAGGAGGGACCAUCCUCCAAGCCUAAAUACUACCUAGUGACCGAUAGCGCAUAGUACCGUGAGGGAAAGGUGAAAAGAACCCCGGGAGGGGAGUGAAAGAGAACCUGAAACCCUGCACUUACAAGCUGUAGGAGCACAUUAUUUGUGUGACUGCGUACUUUUUGUAGAACGGGCCAACGAGUUACGUUGUGUAGCAAGGUUAAGCACUUAAGGUGUGGAGCCGUAGCGAAAGCGAGUCUUAAAUGGGCGAUUAAGUUACUUGGCGUAGACCCGAAACCGGGCGACCUAUCCAUGAGCAGGUUGAAGCGAAAGUAAAAUUUCGUGGAGGACCGAACCCACGAGCGUUGAAAAGCUCGGGGAUGACUUGUGGAUAGCGGUGAAAUUCCAAUCGAGCCCGGAGAUAGCUGGUUCUCCCCGAAAUAGCUUUAGGGCUAGCCUCAAGCGUAGAGAAACGGAGGUAGAGCACUGAAUGUCCUAGGGGGUAUUGCACUUACCGAAGACUAUCAAACUCCGAAUGCCGUUUUCUUUUACUUGGGAGUCAGACUGUGGGUGAUAAGAUUCAUAGUCAAAAGGGCAACAGCCCAGAUCGUCAGCUAAGGUCCCUAAAUGUACGUUAAGUGGUAAAGGAUGUGGGAUUGCACAGACAACCAGGAUGUUGGCUUAGAAGCAGCCACUCAUUUAAAGAGUGCGUAAUAGCUCACUGGUCGAGUGAUCCUGCGCCGAAAAUUUCCGGGGCUAAAACGUACUACCGAAGCUACGGCAUCAUUUAUGAUGGGUAGGGGAGCUUCGUAUGCAGGCUGAAGCAUGACCGUAAGGACAUGUGGACAGUAUACGAGUGAGAAUGUUGGCAUGAGUAGCGAGACGUGGGUGAGAAUCCCACGGGCCGUAAACCCAAGGUUUCCAGGGGAAGGUUCGUCCGCCCUGGGUUAGUCGGGACCUAAGCCGAGGCCGAAAGGCGUAGGUGAUGGACAACAGGUUGAUAUUCCUGUACCGCCAAUAAGCGUUUGAGAGAUGGAGUGACACAGUAGGAUAAGCUAACCGUACUGUUGGUUAUGUACGGCUAAGCAUUGAGGCAGUCUAAAUAGGCAAAUCCGUUUAGACAAUGCUAGGAUGUGAUGGGGAAGCCCUUCGGGGCGAAGUAGCUGAUUUCACACUGUCAAGAAAAGCUUCUAUCGAGUUUAAAGGCGCCCGUACCGUAAACCGACACAGGUGGGUGAGGAGAGUAUCCUAAGGCCAGCGAGAGAACUAUUGUUAAGGAACUCGGCAAAAUGACCCCGUAACUUAGGGAGAAGGGGUGCCUGUCUAUGACAGGCCGCAGAGAAUAGGCCCAAGCGACUGUUUACCAAAAACACAGGUUUCUGCUAAGUCGCAAGACGAUGUAUAGGAGCUGACGCCUGCCCGGUGCUGGAAGGUUAAGGGGAUCUGUUAGAGCAAUCGAAGCAGUGAACUUAAGCCCCAGUAAACGGCGGCCGUAACUAUAACGGUCCUAAGGUAGCGAAAUUCCUUGUCGGGUAAGUUCCGACCCGCACGAAAGGCGUAAUGAUUUGGGCACUGUCUCAACGAGAGACUCGGUGAAAUUUUAGUACCUGUGAAGAUGCAGGUUACCCGCGACAGGACGGAAAGACCCCAUGGAGCUUUACUGCAGUUUGAUAUUGAGUAUCUGUACCACAUGUACAGGAUAGGUAGGAGCCUAUGACCUCGGGACGCCAGUUUCGAGUGAGGCGUUGUUGGGAUACUACCCUUGUGUUAUGGCUACUCUAACCCAGAUAGGUUAUCCCUAUCGGAGACAGUGUCUGACGGGCAGUUUGACUGGGGCGGUCGCCUCCUAAAAGGUAACGGAGGCGCCCAAAGGUUCCCUCAGAAUGGUUGGAAAUCAUUCGCAGAGUGUAAAGGUAUAAGGGAGCUUGACUGCGAGAGCUACAACUCGAGCAGGGACGAAAGUCGGGCUUAGUGAUCCGGUGGUUCCGCAUGGAAGGGCCAUCGCUCAACGGAUAAAAGCUACCCUGGGGAUAACAGGCUUAUCUCCCCCAAGAGUUCACAUCGACGGGGAGGUUUGGCACCUCGAUGUCGGCUCAUCGCAUCCUGG